RNAcentral lists this ribosomal RNA (553 nucleotides) under uncultured euryarchaeote. RNAcentral describes it as "bacterial SSU rRNA". It matches the Rfam family "Archaeal small subunit ribosomal RNA", at positions 325 to 879 of the family's 1478-position model. Lineage: Archaea; Methanobacteriati; Methanobacteriota. The record is from RNAcentral.
AUGGGGUGCAGCAGGCGCGAAAUCUUCACAAUGUGCGAAAGCACGAUGAGGGGAUCCCAAGUGCUGGCACGUAAGUGUCAGCUGUUUCUUAGUCUAAAAAACUGAGAGAGUAAGGGCUGGGUAAGACGGGUGCCAGCCGCCGCGGUAAUACCUGCAGCUCAAGUGGUGGCCGCUAUUAUUGGGCCUAAAACGUCCGUAGCCUGUUUAGUAAAUGCUUGGGUAAAUUGUGUAGCUUAACUAUACGAAUACCGAGUAGACUGCUAAACUUGGGACCGGGAGAGGCUAGAGGUACUCCUGGGGUAGAGGUGAAAUUCUGUAAUCCUAGGGGGACCACCAGUGGCGAAGGCGUCUAGCUAGAACGGGUCUGACGGUGAGGAACGAAGCCCUGGGGCGCAAACCGGAUUAGAUACCCGGGUAGUCCAGGGUGUAAACGCUGCUUGCUUGAUGUUAGUUGGGCUCCGAGCCCAAUUAGUGUCGGAGAGAAGUUGUUAAGCAAGCUGCCUGGGAAGUACGAUCGCAAGAUUGAAACUUAAAGGAAUUGGCGGGGGAGCAC